CGCCGGUCAAGGUGGCAGCAGUGUCAAAAGCUGUGCAGCUGGAUGGAUUUUCGCUUUUGGACAUUUGUUAUGAUGCAUCACCAUAGCAACAAGGACGUUUUCAGAUCCAAAUGAAGAACCAAAUCAGGACUCAAAGCAUGUGUGAAAUAAGAAGAAUUAUUUACAGCAAGCAACCAAACCGUGAUCCAGGUGGGAACUAAACAGAGAAGAGUGGGCAGGCAGAGAACUGAAGGAAAAGUAGGAGCUGCUUACAGUGCCCAUGGCUGAUUUCUUUGAGAUGUCUGUCUUGGAGGAUGUUGUAAGAGAUCCAGAGAUGAUGCAGUAACCAAUGAGAGGUCAGCAACAUGGGAGGCACAGCUAGGUUGAGCAUCAGGCCAAGACAGGUAAUCUCACAGCUCCUUAAAUCUCCAAACUGCCUGAUGAGAGAACUGCUGACAGGGUGAUGAGGAUCAGGUGCGCUUUCAGUUCUGUAUAAAACCAGUAAGACAUCGGCGUCCUGGGGCUGAAGAUGGAAUAAAAAAAGAGAUAAGGAAGACAGAGAAAAGCGACUCUUUUUGCUGGAUUAUGAAAAUGCAGGAAAAUGAAAAAUAACCCUCCAAAUAAACAUUCAGCUUUAGACGCUAAAA
This is a long non-coding RNA of Girardinichthys multiradiatus, 626 nucleotides long. RefSeq lists it as uncharacterized. The record is from RefSeq and is a predicted model, not a curated record. The transcript has 6 exons. Lineage: Eukaryota; Metazoa; Chordata; Actinopteri; Cyprinodontiformes; Goodeidae.